UACAAGCUGCAUUGUACGUAAUGAUAAUUAAGUUUUAACCUUUAAGCUGUAAUAGGGAGUUUUAUAUCGCAUCUGAAAUGUCAUGCCUCUCCAUUAGCAGAGGAAGACAGGAAAGCUGCUGCAAACACCCACUUUGAGAAGUGGUGGUUUAAAACUUUCUUACGUAAGUUACGGCAAUUGUGGCUUCUUU
Molecule: non-coding RNA, 190 nt
Filed under: Bacillus sp. V2I10
Lineage: Bacteria; Bacillati; Bacillota; Bacilli; Caryophanales; Bacillaceae
Description: 6S / SsrS RNA
Rfam family: 6S / SsrS RNA
About the family: E. coli 6S RNA was the first non coding RNA to be sequenced, but its function was unknown until recently. It consists of 184 nucleotides that fold into an extended hairpin structure with a large single-stranded internal bulge.
Source: RNAcentral